GACGAACGCUGGCGGCGUGCUUAACACAUGCAAGUCGAGCGGUAAGGCCCUUUCGGGGGUACACGAGCGGCGAACGGGUGAGUAACACGUGGGUGACCUGCCCUCAGCUCUGGGAUAAGCCUGGGAAACCGGGUCUAAUACUGGAUAUGACCUCAUGACGCAUGUUGUGGGGUGGAAAGCCUUGUGCGACUGAGGAUGGGCCCGCGGCCUAUCAGCUUGUUGGUGGGGUGANGGCCUACCAAGGCGACGACGGGUAGCCGGCCUGAGAGGGCGACCGGCCACACUGGGACUGAGACACGGCCCAGACUCCUACGGGAGGCAGCAGUGGGGAAUCUUGCGCAAUGGGCGAAAGCCUGACGCAGCGACGCCGCGUGAGGGAUGACGGCCU
RNAcentral lists this ribosomal RNA (388 nucleotides) under uncultured bacterium. RNAcentral describes it as "bacterial SSU rRNA". It matches the Rfam family "Bacterial small subunit ribosomal RNA", at positions 28 to 417 of the family's 1533-position model. The record is from RNAcentral.